CCUACGGGACGCACCAGUGGGGAAUAUUGGACAAUGGGCGAAAGCCUGAUCCAGCAAUGCCGCGUGUGUGAAGAAGGUCUUUGGAUUGUAAAGCACUUUCGACGGGGACGAUGAUGACGGUAACCGUAGAAGAAGCCCCGGCUAACUUCGUGCCAGCAGCCGCGGUAAUACGAAGGGGGCUAGCGUUGCUCGGAAUGACUGGGCGUAAAGGGCGCGUAGGCGGUUUAUGCAGUCAGAUGUGAAAUCCCCGGGCUUAACCUGGGAACUGCAUUUGAGACGCAUAGACUAGAGGUCGAGAGAGGGUUGUGGAAUUCCCAGUGUAGAGGUGAAAUUCGUAGAUAUUGGGAAGAACACCGGUGGCGAAGGCGGCAACCUGGCUCGAUACUGACGCUGAGGCGCGGAAGCGUGGGGAGCAAACAGGAUUAGAUACCCCCGUAGUC
This 440-nucleotide ribosomal RNA is filed under the name uncultured bacterium. Its description in RNAcentral is "bacterial SSU rRNA". It matches the Rfam family "Bacterial small subunit ribosomal RNA", at positions 338 to 795 of the family's 1533-position model. The record is from RNAcentral.